GAAAUUUAUCAAUCAAAUAAAAUGAGUAGUUGUUCCACAAGAUGUAAGACAUUCAACAAGCAUAGUGGAAGAAGUGAUAAGAGAUUGGUUAACACUUUUCCAGGAAAUUGCAGCACAAGCCAACAUAAAACGCAUAAAGAACCACAUUUUUAGUCAUCCAGACACCCACUAACAACUGAAUCAGGAUAGCCUUUUAUUACAAAUUCAUCAACCUGACUGAAAACAAGCACAAAAUCUCUAGUAUGCUUCAAACAACGCAUUACUUUCUUUGCAGCCAUCUAAAGAUCCCAAUCAGGAUUAGACAUGUGCCUACCAAAAACACUGACAGCGAAGGAUAUGUGUGGCUUUUUGAAUAUCAUAAAAUGUACCAAACUCCCUACAGCACUAGCAUAAGGACAUUAUUCUUUUCAACUUUAUUCUUGGGAUACUUAGACUUACUAUACUUAUCCCUUUUAGUCAUGAGAACAUGCCACAGUUUACAAUUCUCCAUUUAAAAAAUUUCAGUAAUUGUCAAUAUAAGCCUUUUAGGAAAGCCCUUGAGCAUUUCAAGACUUGUCCCUAUUGAUCUCAAUUCCAAGCAUAAAAGAUGCUUCUCCUAAUGCAAUGUCAGACGUGUAACUUGGAAAACGGCAAUAAUAAGGAGUUUGUUGCUCACUUAAUUAAAUUUUAGAGAGUUUUAUGUUACAUUU
Molecule: unclassified non-coding RNA, 689 nt
Filed under: Hevea brasiliensis (rubber tree)
Lineage: Eukaryota; Viridiplantae; Streptophyta; Magnoliopsida; Malpighiales; Euphorbiaceae
Source: RNAcentral